UAGGGAAUAUUGGGCAAUGGGCGAAAGCCUGACCCAGCAACGCCGCGUGAAGGAAGAAGGCCCUCGGGUUGUAAACUUCUUUUAGACGGGACGAUAAUGACGGUACCGUCAGAAUAAGCCACGGCUAACUACGUGCCAGCAGCCGCGGUAAUACGUAGGUGGCAAGCGUUGUCCGGAAUUACUGGGUGUAAAGGGCGUGUAGGCGGGAAUGCAAGUCAGAUGUGAAAUUUCGAGGCUCAACCUCGAACGUGCAUUUGAAACUGUGUUUCUUGAGUGAUGGAGAGGCAGAUGGAAUUCCUAGUGUAGCGGUGAAAUGCGUAGAUAUUAGGAGGAACACCAGUGGCGAAGGCGAUCUGCUGGACAUUAACUGACGCUGAGGCGCGAGAGCGUGGGGAGCAAACA
The sequence is a ribosomal RNA, 402 nucleotides long. It matches the Rfam family "Bacterial small subunit ribosomal RNA", at positions 355 to 774 of the family's 1533-position model.